UGAGUAACCUGCCCUUAACUCUGGGAUAAGCCUGGGAAACUGGGUCUAAUACCGGAUAUGACUCCUCAUCGCAUGGUGGGGGGUGGAAAGCUUUUUGNGGUUUUGGAUGGACUCGCGGCCUAUCAGCUUGUUGGUGAGGUAAUGGCUUACCAAGGCGACGACGGGUAGCCGGCCUGAGAGGGUGACCGGCCACACUGGGACUGAGACACGGCCCAGACUCCUACGGGAGCAG
Molecule: ribosomal RNA, 232 nt
Filed under: uncultured bacterium
Lineage: Bacteria
Description: partial 16S ribosomal RNA
Rfam family: Bacterial small subunit ribosomal RNA
Source: RNAcentral